AGGCAAGGGAGGGGCUCUGGGAUGAAAGUCUUUGCAGGAAGCCCGGCUCGGGCUCCCCUGGAGACUCCGGGGUGAAAGAUCUUGCAGGGAGCCCCGCUUAGGCUCCGCAGAAGGCGAAGAAGGGGCUCCGGGCUCAGGAGCCGCGAAGGCCAAGGAGGCUCUCUGGGAUAGAGUCCUUGCAGAGAGCCGGGCUCAGAGUCCUUGCAGGAGGCCAAGGAGGAGCUGCGGGUUCAGGGGCUCGGCAGGGAGCUGCAUCAGUGUCCGCUGGAGGUUCGGGGUUCAGCAGCCCCAAAGGGAGCUCCCGGGGCUAAAGACCUUCAGAGGGCUGAGGAGGAUACCUUGGAGAUUUGGUGUCUGUGGCCCCACAGCUCUGGAAGAAGAUGGAAUGUCGACUAUGUGCAGUCACAUGUUUGGUGCUUACUCAACACAUUGUAUUAGGGAUGGUUUAUUCUUUAGGAAAAGAAAAAAGUGCUAAUUAUAGAAGCCUCUCAGAAAUAGAAGGAAUUAGAAAUGAAGUCUGAUGAGACAAAUCGAAACUUCUUUGUUAUUUUUUUUCUUUCGGGUGGAUUUACUAAAAUGAAGAUGUAGAAGGCAGAAUCCAUUGCAACAGUUCUGUGAAUUUAGUUAAAAAUCCAAUCUAGUCUGACUUAUCUACAAUUCUUACUCUGAUUCGUGCACUUUCUUGGUCAAUGCAAGGAAAAUACAGGGUUUUUGAAAGUAUAAAGAUUUUGACAUGUGUCCUAGCACCUAAAGAGAGAUAGUAGGUUGAAUGAGUUUUUCUGGAGUGACUUGCUCUAAGCCAUUGUUAGUAAGGAGCAGCUAGAUGGUGAAGUAGCUAGAGUGUCAG
This is a non-coding RNA of Phascolarctos cinereus (koala), 847 nucleotides long. NCBI's taxonomy places the organism in Eukaryota, Metazoa, Chordata, Mammalia, Diprotodontia, Phascolarctidae. The record is from RefSeq and is a predicted model, not a curated record.